GAUGAAGAACGUAGCGAAAUGCGAUAAGUAAUGUGAAUUGCAGAAUUCAGUGAAUCAUCGAAUCUUUGAACGCACAUUGCGCCCCCUGGUAUUCCGGGGGGCAUGCCUGUCCGAGCGUCAUUACAACCCUCAAGCUCAGCUUGGUGUUGGGCCCCGCCGCCCCGGCGGGCCCUAAAGUCAGUGGCGGUGCCGUCCGGCUCCGAGCGUAGUAAUUCUUCUCGCUCUGGAGGUCCGGUCGUGUGCUCGCCAGCAACCCCCAAUUUUUUUCAGGUUGACCUCCGAUCAGGUAGGGAUACCCGCUGAACUUAAGCAUAUCAAUAAGCGGAGGA
Molecule: unclassified non-coding RNA, 329 nt
Filed under: soil metagenome
Description: partial contains 5.8S ribosomal RNA, internal transcribed spacer 2, and large subunit ribosomal RNA
Rfam family: 5.8S ribosomal RNA (bases 1-120)
Source: RNAcentral